AAAACUUUCAACAACGGAUCUCUUGGUUCCCACAUCGAUGAAGAACGCAGCGAAAUGCGAUAAGUAAUGUGAAUUGCAGAAUUCAGUGAAUCAUCGAAUCUUUGAACGCACAUUGCGCCCCCUGGUAUUCCGGGGGGCAUGCCUGUUCGAGCGUCA
Molecule: ribosomal RNA, 156 nt
Filed under: Morchella costata
Lineage: Eukaryota; Fungi; Ascomycota; Pezizomycetes; Pezizales; Morchellaceae
Description: 5.8S ribosomal RNA
Rfam family: 5.8S ribosomal RNA
About the family: 5.8S ribosomal RNA (5.8S rRNA) is a component of the large subunit of the eukaryotic ribosome. It is transcribed by RNA polymerase I as part of the 45S precursor that also contains 18S and 28S rRNA. Functionally, it is thought that 5.8S rRNA may be involved in ribosome translocation.
Source: RNAcentral